AUUGAACGCUGGCGGCAUGCUUUACACAUGCAAGUCGAACGGUAACAGGCCGCAAGGUGCUGACGAGUGGCGAACGGGUGAGUAAUGCAUCGGAACGUGCCCAGUCGUGGGGGAUAACGCAGCGAAAGCUGUGCUAAUACCGCAUACGAUCUAUGGAUGAAAGCGGGGGACCGUAAGGCCUCGCGCGAUUGGAGGGGCCGAUGUCAGAUUAGGUAGUUGGUGGGGUAAAGGCUCACCAAGCCAACGAUCUUUAGCUGGUCUGAGAGGACGACCAACCACACUGGGACUGAGACACGGCCCAGACUCCUCCGGGAGGCAGCAGUGGGGAAUUUUGGACAAUGGGCGCAAGCCUGAUCCAGCAAUGCCGCGUGCAGGAAGAAGGCCUUCGGGUUGUAAACUGCUUUUGUACGGAACGAAAAGGUUUGGGUUAAUACCCUGGGCCGAUGACGGUACCGUAAGAAUAAGCACCGGCUAACUACGUGCCAGCCGCCGCCGUAA
RNAcentral lists this ribosomal RNA (498 nucleotides) under uncultured bacterium. RNAcentral's name for it is "partial 16S ribosomal RNA". It matches the Rfam family "Bacterial small subunit ribosomal RNA", at positions 30 to 523 of the family's 1533-position model. The record is from RNAcentral.